GCCGGGAUAGCUCAGCUGGCAGAGCAGCCGCCUUGUAAGCGGCAGGUCAGGGGUUCGAGUCCCCUUCCCGGCU
RNAcentral lists this transfer RNA (73 nucleotides) under Egibacter rhizosphaerae. It matches the Rfam family "tRNA". From Rfam's summary of the family: Transfer RNA (tRNA) molecules are approximately 80 nucleotides in length. Their secondary structure includes four short double-helical elements and three loops (D, anti-codon, and T loops). Further hydrogen bonds mediate the characteristic L-shaped molecular structure. tRNAs have two regions of fundamental functional importance: the anti-codon, which is responsible for specific mRNA codon recognition, and the 3' end, to which the tRNAs corresponding amino acid is attached (by aminoacyl-tRNA synthetases). tRNAs cope with the degeneracy of the genetic code in two manners: having more than one tRNA (with a specific anti-codon) for a particular amino acid; and 'wobble' base-pairing, i.e. permitting non-standard base-pairing at the 3rd anti-codon position. Lineage: Bacteria; Bacillati; Actinomycetota; Nitriliruptoria; Egibacterales; Egibacteraceae. The record is from Rfam by way of RNAcentral.